CCUACGGGGGGCAGCAGUGGGGGAUAUUGCACAAUGGGGGAAACCCUGAUGCAGCAACGCCGCGUGUGGGAAGAAGGUUUUCGGAUUGUAAACCACUGUUCUUGGUGAAGAUAAUGACGGUAACCAAGGAGAAAGCUCCGGCUAACUACGUGUCAGCAGCCGCGGUAAUACGUAGGGAGCAAGCGUUGUCCGGAUUUACUGGGUGUAAAGGGUGCGUAGGCGGUCUUGCAAGUCAGACGUGAAAACCACAGGCUCAACCUGUGGACUGCGUUUGAAACUGUGGGGCUUGAGUUGGAGAGAAGUAUGCGGAAUGCGCGGUGUAGCGGUGAAAUGCAUAGAUAUCGCGCAGAACUCCGAUUGCGAAGGCAGCAUGCCGGCUCCACACUGACGCUGAGGCACGAAAGCGUGGGUAUCGAACAGGAUUAGAUACCCCUGUAGUC
Molecule: ribosomal RNA, 440 nt
Filed under: uncultured bacterium
Lineage: Bacteria
Description: partial 16S ribosomal RNA
Rfam family: Bacterial small subunit ribosomal RNA
Source: RNAcentral